RNAcentral lists this long non-coding RNA (709 nucleotides) under Marmota monax (woodchuck). The record is from RNAcentral. Lineage: Eukaryota; Metazoa; Chordata; Mammalia; Rodentia; Sciuridae.
UGGGGAAAGAAAUUACAGAAAAUGCUGUCUUAGGCUUAGGAAGAUGGAUGUUGGAUCUUGGAGUUUCAGAAAUUUUCAGGUCCACCCUCCCUAGAUUAAAAGAUAAAGUCUAAAUAUUAAAUAUAACAGCAAUUACAGAAAAUUAAGUGUGUGAAACUUAUCAUUCAGACCUGUUCAUUUAUGAGUUUGGUAUAUGUAUGAGAAAUAACCUGACAAAUACAUGAGUCUCUUUCUAGGACGUAUUGUAAAUUCAGUUGAUUUGUUAUUCUUAUACCCAUCUUAGUAACUUUUUAAAAUUAUAAUGAAAUUGAUAUAAUUUGAAAUUGAUAUCUGAUAAGGCAACUCUCUGUUUGCUAGGAUUUUUUCAAAUAUUUGUAGAUGUUUGGUUUAACAUAUAAAAUUCACAGUUUGUCCAGUUACCCCAAAAUUCUUGUAUGAAUAACUUUGAUUUUAGAUUAAUGUGGAGAAAAGCAAUGUGUUUACAAUGUUAAAUCAUCUCAAUGAAUAAGUUAUGGCUCUUUUCAGGAUUUUUUGUUUUCUAAUUUUUUUUGUUUAUUGCUGUUAGACUAAUUUCUAGAUAUUUAUCAUUUUCUGUUUAUACAGUAAAUGGUGUUCUAUUUUCUCUUUAUUUGGUAUUUCUAGUGUAUUGUCACACUAUUGAUUUAUUUUAAUGAUUAAGCUGAAAACUCUUAAUUUUAGUAAUAUGUAU